This 302-nucleotide long non-coding RNA is filed under the name Elaeis guineensis (African oil palm). RNAcentral's name for it is "long non-coding RNA (EGUI_LNC060285)". Lineage: Eukaryota; Viridiplantae; Streptophyta; Magnoliopsida; Arecales; Arecaceae. The record is from RNAcentral.
UCCGCUUCAAUAGCCCUCAUUCGAGCAUCAGCUUUUUGGACCUUCUCCUCCAUGGAGGCUCUGAAUUGAUCAAAGUUUAUUGAGUUCCCACAAAAGAGACAAAAGGCCGACUGCAUGAAGCAAGAAGUAAGAGACAAAAAAAAGACAAGGGAAGAACCACAAUUUGACCAAAAAGGUAGACUUUUCAUUAGCUAAAAGCAUCGUUAUAGGUCUUUUCUUCAUUACAAAAGUUCAAAGGAAAACAAAGACAAGUACAAAAGAACUAAGCCUCUGAAGAGGUGCUAGCAACCUCAACAUGGGGU